CAAGUCGAGCGGUAAGGCCUCUUCGGAGGUACACGAGCGGCGGACGGCUGAGUAACACGUAGGAACAUACCCCAAACUGAGGGAUAAGCACCAGAAAUGGUGUCUAAUACCGCAUGUGAUCUAAGGAUUAAAGCUUCGGCGGUUUGGGAAUGGCCUGCGCAUGAUUAGUUUGUUGGUGAGGUAAUGGCUUACCAAGACUACGAUCAUUAGCUGGUCUGAGAGGAUGACCAGCCAGACUGGAACUGAGAACGGUCCAGACUCCUACGGGAGGCAGCAGUAGGGAAUUUUCCACAAUGGGCGAAAGCCUGAUGGAGCAACGCCGCGUGCAGGAUGAAUGUCUUCGGAUUGUAAACUGCUUUUAUCUGUGACGAAUAUGACGGUAGCAGAUGAAUAAGGAUCGGCUAACUCCGUGCCAGCAGCCGCGGUCAUACGGAGGAUCCAAGCGUUAUCCGGAAUUACUGGGCGUAAAGAGUUGCGUAGGUGGCAUUGUAAGUUGGUAGUGAAAGCGUUCGGCUCAACCGGAUAUACAUUAUCAAAACUGCAAAGCUAGAGGGCGAGAGAGGUUACUGGAAUUCCUAGUGUAGGGGUAAAAUCCGUUGAUAUUAGGAAGAACACCGAUGGCGUAGGCAGGUAACUGGCUCGUCCCUGACACUAAGGCACGAAAGCGUGGGGAGCAAACAGGAUUAGAUACCCUGGUAGUCCACGCCGUAAACGAUGGAUGCUAGCUGUAAGAGGUAUCGACCCCUCUUGUAGCGAAGCUAACGCGUUAAGCAUCCCGCCUGUGGAGUACGGUCGCAAGACUAAAACAUAAAGGAAUUGACGGGGACCCGCACAAGCGGUGGAGCGUGUUGUUUAAUUC
This 859-nucleotide ribosomal RNA is filed under the name uncultured bacterium. RNAcentral's name for it is "bacterial SSU rRNA". It matches the Rfam family "Bacterial small subunit ribosomal RNA", at positions 58 to 952 of the family's 1533-position model. The record is from RNAcentral.